AUGGCUUCCACGUUGGACUAUCUGAAUAUGCGACAAAACCAAAUUAGCGGUUCUCUGCCAUAUACAAUUGAACUUAUGAGAGCAGUUGCAGUCGAUCUUAGUUCUAACAACUUGAGUGGCCCAAUACCUAAGCUUCCCAUCACUCUAUUGUACUUGGAUCUUAGUAGGAAUAAUUUAGACGGGCCACUACCACUAGAUUUUGGAGCACCAAAUCUACAAACACUUAUUCUAUUUAACAACUCCAUCUCUGGCACCAUUCCCUCUUCUUUGUGCAAACUGCGUUUACUACGCCUGUUGGAUAUUUCUGAAAAUAAGCUAUCAGGAUCUAUUCCUGAUUGCUCUGCCGAUACAUCCACAACAAACAUAAAAAAUAUGAGUAUUAUUAAUCUAAGCUUGAGAAACAACCUCCUCUCAGGUGAUUUUCCUUCAUUUCUCCGAUACUGCCGACAACUCCUCUUUCUCGACCUUGCACACAACCAUUUCUUUGGGACUUUACCAGCAUGGAUUUGGGACAAAUUGCCAGAUUUGGCUUUCUUAAGACUACGGUCCAAUAUGUUUUAA
Molecule: ribosomal RNA, 561 nt
Filed under: Triticum aestivum (bread wheat)
Lineage: Eukaryota; Viridiplantae; Streptophyta; Magnoliopsida; Poales; Poaceae
Description: partial small subunit ribosomal RNA
Source: RNAcentral